This 301-nucleotide ribosomal RNA is filed under the name uncultured bacterium. RNAcentral describes it as "partial 16S ribosomal RNA". It matches the Rfam family "Bacterial small subunit ribosomal RNA", at positions 509 to 807 of the family's 1533-position model. The record is from RNAcentral.
CAGUCGCCGCGGUAAUACGAAGGGGGCUAGCGUUGUUCGGAUUUACUGGGCGUAAAGGGCGCGUAGGCGGACUGAUAAGUCAGGGGUGAAAUCCCAAGGCUCAACCUUGGAACUGCCUUUGAUACUGUUUGUCUUGAGUUCGAGAGAGGUAAGUGGAACUGCGAGUGUAGAGGUGAAAUUCGUAGAUAUUCGCAAGAACACCAGUGGCGAAGGCGGCUCACUGGCCCGAUACUGACGCUGAGGCACGAAAGCGUGGGGAGCAAACAGGAUUAGAUACCCCCGUAGUCCCUGUCUCUUAUAC